This 261-nucleotide ribosomal RNA is filed under the name uncultured Latescibacterota bacterium. RNAcentral describes it as "uncultured Latescibacteria bacterium partial 16S ribosomal RNA". It matches the Rfam family "Bacterial small subunit ribosomal RNA", at positions 1124 to 1382 of the family's 1533-position model. Lineage: Bacteria; Pseudomonadati; Candidatus Latescibacterota. The record is from RNAcentral.
GGUAAAGCUGGGAACUCUGGGGAGACUGCCGGUGAUAAACCGGAGGAAGGCGGGGAUGACGUCAAGUCCUCAUGGCCCUUACAUCCCGGGCUACACACGUGCUACAAUGGCAGGUACAGAGGGCUGCGAAGCCGCGAGGUGGAGCGAAUCCCAGAAAAACCUGUCUCAGUCCGGAUUGAAGUCUGCAACUCGACUUCAUGAAGGCGGAAUCGCUAGUAACCGCGAAUCAGCAGGUCGCGGUCGAAUACGUUCCCGGGCCUU